GCCAGACUCCUACGGGAGGCAGCAGUGGGGAAUAUUGGGCAAUGGGCGCAAGCCUGACCCAGCAACGCCGCGUGAAGGAAGAAGGCUUUCGGGUUGUAAACUUCUUUUGACAGGGAAGAGUAGAAGACGGUACCUGUCGAAUAAGCCACGGCUAACUACGUGCCAGCAGCCGCGGUAAUACGUAGGUGGCAAGCGUUGUCCGGAUUUACUGGGUGUAAAGGGCGUGUAGCCGGGAAGGCAAGUCAGAUGUGAAAUCUGGAGGCUCAACCUCCAAAUUGCAUUUGAAACUGUUUUUCUUGAGUACUGGAGAGGCAGACGGAAUUCCUUGUGUAGCGGUGAAAUGCGUAGAUAUAAGGAGGAACACCAGUGGCGAAGGCGGUCUGCUGGACAGCAACUGACGGUGAGGCGCGAAAGCGUGGGGAGCAAACAGGAUUAGAUACCCCUGUAA
RNAcentral lists this ribosomal RNA (448 nucleotides) under uncultured bacterium. RNAcentral's name for it is "bacterial SSU rRNA". It matches the Rfam family "Bacterial small subunit ribosomal RNA", at positions 330 to 793 of the family's 1533-position model. The record is from RNAcentral.